RNAcentral lists this ribosomal RNA (300 nucleotides) under Dentiscutata erythropus. Its description in RNAcentral is "partial 25S ribosomal RNA". Lineage: Eukaryota; Fungi; Glomeromycota; Glomeromycetes; Diversisporales; Gigasporaceae. The record is from RNAcentral.
UUGAAAGGGAAACGAUUGAAGUCAGUCAUGCCGGCGGGAAUCAACUUAGGGGAAACUUUAAGUGCACUUCACGUUUGGCAGGUCAGCAUCGAUUUUGGAUGUCGUAAAAUGAUUGGGGGAAGGUAGCCCCUUCGGGAGUGUUAUAGCCCUUGGUAGAUGUGAUGUCUGGGAUCGAGGAUUGCAACGGAUACCCUUUGGGCUAGCCGCCUGAUCUCUAACUAGUGUUGGGUUACGGACAGCAUGCUGACCGUGAUUUAAUUAUUGGUUAAAAGGUUAGAGCGAGUGUAAAUUCGUUAAGGA